This is a long non-coding RNA of Oncorhynchus keta (chum salmon), 491 nucleotides long. RefSeq lists it as uncharacterized. NCBI's taxonomy places the organism in Eukaryota, Metazoa, Chordata, Actinopteri, Salmoniformes, Salmonidae. The record is from RefSeq and is a predicted model, not a curated record. The transcript is spliced from 3 exons.
GGAGACAGUUUGCCAUGGGAGAGGUUUAAAAGCAUUAUGAUUGGUGUUGAGGAGGAGACAGUUUGCCAUGGGAGAGGUUUAAAAGCAUUAUGAUUGGUGUUGAGGAGGAGACAGUUUGCCAUGGGAGAGGUUUAAAAGCAUUAUGAUUGGUGUUGAGGAGGAGACAGUUUGCCAUGGGAGAGGUUUAAAAGCAUUAUGAUUGGUGUUGAGGAGGAGACAGUUUGCCAUGGGAGAGGUUUAAAAGCAUUAUGAUUGGUGUUGAGGAGGAGACAGUUUGCCAUGGGAGAGGUUUAAAAGCAUUAUGAUUGGUGUUGAGGAGGAGACAGUUUGCCAUGGGAGAGGUUUAAAAGCAUUAUGAUUGGUGUUGAGGAGGAGACAGUUUGCCAUGGGAGAGGUUUAAAAGCAUUAUGAUUGGUGUUGAGGAGGAGACAGUUUGCCAGUGGAGAGGUUUAAAAGCAUUAUGAUUGGUGUUGAGGAGGAGACAGUUUGCC